Dermochelys coriacea (leatherback sea turtle) is the source of this 168-nucleotide long non-coding RNA. RefSeq lists it as uncharacterized. The transcript is spliced from 3 exons. The record is from RefSeq and is a predicted model, not a curated record. NCBI's taxonomy places the organism in Eukaryota, Metazoa, Chordata, Testudines, Dermochelyidae.
GGGGUGCAGGUUCUGGGAGGCGCUUACCUCAAGCAGCUCCAGGAAGCAGCAGCAUGUCCGCACUCUGGCUCCUAUGCUGAGGCGCGGCCAGGCGGGUCUGUGCACUGCCCAGUCCACAGGCGCCGCUCCUGCAGCUCCCAUUGGCCACAGUUCCUGGCCAUUGGGAGC